RNAcentral lists this ribosomal RNA (1157 nucleotides) under Salmonella enterica subsp. enterica serovar Typhimurium. Its description in RNAcentral is "partial 23S ribosomal RNA". It matches the Rfam family "Bacterial large subunit ribosomal RNA", at positions 1 to 1190 of the family's 2925-position model. Lineage: Bacteria; Pseudomonadati; Pseudomonadota; Gammaproteobacteria; Enterobacterales; Enterobacteriaceae. The record is from RNAcentral.
GGGUUGUGAGGUUAAGCGACUAAGCGUACACGGUGGAUGCCCUGGCAGUCAGAGGCGAUGAAGGACGUGCUAAUCUGCGAUAAGCGCCGGUAAGGUGAUAUGAACCGUUAUAACCGGCGAUUUCCGAAUGGGGAAACCCAGUGUGAUUCGUCACACUAUCAUUAACUGAAUCCAUAGGUUAAUGAGGCGAACCGGGGGAACUGAAACAUCUAAGUACCCCGAGGAAAAGAAAUCAACCGAGAUUCCCCCAGUAGCGGCGAGCGAACGGGGAGGAGCCCAGAGCCUGAAUCAGCAUGUGUGUUAGUGGAAGCGUCUGGAAAGGUGCGCGAUACAGGGUGACAGCCCCGUACACAAAAGCGCAUGUGCUGUGAGCUCGAUGAGUAGGGCGGGACACGUGGUAUCCUGUCUGAAUAUGGGGGGACCAUCCUCCAAGGCUAAAUACUCCUGACUGACCGAUAGUGAACCAGUACCGUGAGGGAAAGGCGAAAAGAACCCCGGCGAGGGGAGUGAAAAAGAACCUGAAACCGUGUACGUACAAGCAGUGGGAGCACCCUUCGGGGUGUGACUGCGUACCUUUUGUAUAAUGGGUCAGCGACUUAUAUUCUGUAGCAAGGUUAACCGUAUAGGGGAGCCGGAGGGAAACCGAGUCUUAACCGGGCGUUAAGUUGCAGGGUAUAGACCCGAAACCCGGUGAUCUAGCCAUGGGCAGGUUGAAGGUUGGGUAACACUAACUGGAGGACCGAACCGACUAAUGUUGAAAAAUUAGCGGAUGACCUGUGGCUGGGGGUGAAAGGCCAAUCAAACCGGGAGAUAGCUGGUUCUCCCCGAAAGCUAUUUAGGUAGCGCCUCGUGAAUUCAUCUCCGGGGGUAGAGCACUGUUUCGGCUAGGGGGCCAUCCCGGCUUACCAACCCGAUGCAAACUGCGAAUACCGGAGAAUGUUAUCACGGGAGACACACGGCGGGUGCUAACGUCCGUCGUGAAGAGGGAAACAACCCAGACCGCCAGCUAAGGUCCCAAAGUCAUGGUUAAGUGGGAAACGAUGUGGGAAGGCCCAGACAGCCAGGAUGUUGGCUUAGAAGCAGCCAUCAUUUAAAGAAAGCGUAAUAGCUCACUGGUCGAGUCGGCCUGCGCGGAAGAUGUAACGGGGCUAAACCAU